Capsicum annuum is the source of this 3101-nucleotide long non-coding RNA. RefSeq lists it as uncharacterized. NCBI's taxonomy places the organism in Eukaryota, Viridiplantae, Streptophyta, Magnoliopsida, Solanales, Solanaceae. The transcript has 3 exons. The record is from RefSeq and is a predicted model, not a curated record.
GUAUUUCAUUGUUUUGAAUAAGAGGGAUUAGUCUAUUUGAUGAUUCAUCCUAAACUUUCUUGGCAUACAUUAGUGUUCCUGCCAUGGGCAGGAGGGGAAUGACUGGGAUUUCGACGACGUAACUGGCAUAAAUUCAAGCAGAAAAGAUGGUUGGAUGUGCCGGAAUAAGGAGAAAGACAAAGGGAGGAUGAAACACUUUGCAAUCAAUUGUUCAUUAUGAUGGGCAGAGUUCAUCAAUUACUGAAGUUGGGGAUCUAGGGCUACUAGUGAGUCUGACUCUGAGCCCGAUGAAUUCACAUAUUCAGCUGAAGACGGCAUCACCAGUGCACAAGUAUGAAGUAAUUAGAGUUAAUCCUGCACAAGAGAGAAUACAACAAUGGCAUAGUGUGAUAAAAUCACAGUCGAGCCCUCAGUCUUGAGCAGAUAAGUUGAGCAAUUAGGGUUGAGUACGGGUAAGCAAACUGAACCAAGAGCCUCAAUUUGGGAUAAAUUUGACAUUUACAAAAGAUUUUGAAUGUUGGGUUCAAAAUGGAGUUUGUGAAUCCAUGGUUAGAACAAAAUUACUAAUAGAUAGGGGAAAUUGAGUUAAAUGACAUAUCAUCUGAACUGAAUAUUGGGGGCACACAGUAAUUUGUUGUGUUGGGGGAUUAUCCACCCUUCACAGUAUUGAAUGGGUAUAUCCAAAGGAUUUGGGAGAAAAUAUAGGAUAAACAAAAUAACAAUGCUCAAAAUGGUAUCGUGUUGGUUCAAUUUAAUAUCAAAGUGGGGCAAAUAGAUGUUUUGGAUGGGGUGUACAUCAUUUUAAUAAAAUGUCCCUGAUCAUUAAAUUUUGGCAUAGUGAUAUGAAUUUUUCUAAGAAGGAGCUAAGAUCUGUCCUUAUAUGGAUCAAACUCCCAAGAUUAGAUUUUAAGUACUGGAGUAUGUGGCGUUUGAGUAAGAUAGACAACCUUGUGGCGAAGCUAUUGAUGGUAGAUAAGCACAUUGAACAGAACUAGGGGCUAAACUUUGUGAGACUGCUUGUUGAAGUCAAAGUGGGUGCUAAAUUACCAGAGAAAGUGUACUUCAGGAAUGAGAAAGGUAGUAUGAUUGACGUUAUGCAUGAUUGAAAACCUUCAAUUUAUGCAUGUGUCCAUAGACCAUAAAUAUGGGCAUACAGAAUAUAAUUGUCGAAAGAAUAAACCUGAACAAAAUGUGAGAAAAGCAAAGUCCUGGUAAGGAUAGAACUUAUAGCUCGAGGAAGAUGAAGGGAGAAGUAGUAUACAAAGGGUGCCUCAGGACCCAACUGGAGCUCAAAUUCAGGGAAAAGGGCAAGAAAAUCUAUGCAACCAAAGAGAGUCUAGAAUAGGGCUCAAUAUAAAGCUACUCAACAGGCUGAACUUGGUGUCCUCAAUUGAAAUAUUUUUCAAAUACUGCAAUAAGGUAAAAAAAAAGCGUUGAUGUUUCCUAAUUAGAGCAGCAUCAAGCUCAUGGCGGAGGUAAUAAUGAGGGUGAUCGGGGGACUACUCCUAUUAGAGAUGGUCAGAAUUCUUGCCCGAAAUGUGAAGGGCCUAAAAUGGCUUGAAUAAGCAGAAAGAGAUCCAGGUAUGAGUGCAUCACGCGGCAACUAAGAUCGUACGGUGAUCUUUGACACUUUGAGAUGAUCAUAUCAUUUUCUGUAAGGGAAAUGUAUGUUCAGUCCAAAGGGUGAUGAAAGCUUUGGAUUAUUUCUCAGUCGUUACCAGAUUGGAGGCAAAUAUAACUAAGUCAAACUUGUUCCUGGCAGGGAUAAAUGUUAAUUUACGAGGGAGAAUAAUUGAGCUUACUGAUUUUCUAGUUGGUACUUUCCCUAUAAGAUGCCUAGGCUUACCAUUGUCACUAAAGAAAUGAAAUGACAUGAAUUUUCAUCAAUUAUGUUUGAAGUUCACAGAAAAAAUUAGAGUUAUUGCAACUAGGCACCUUUCUUAUGCUGGAAGAUUAUAGGUAUUGAAUUGUCUUAUUUUUUAUGCAUAAAUUUUGGUGGACAAUUUUUAUACUACCUAAGAGUGAUUGCUGAACUGGAUAGAAAAUGUAGAACUGUUCUGUGGGGUGGUGAUGAGUCAAAGAAGAAACUAGCUUUGAUGGCUUGAGAAAAGGUAUGCAAACCAAAGAAGCAACGAGGGUUGAACAUUAAAGGUUGUAAAUUCUAGAACCAAGCAUCUGUGGGCAAACUUAUUCAAUUUUUGAUGGAGAAACCGGAUAUACUAUGGGUGAAAUAGGUUAAUGAGAUGUAUAUGGAGGGUGAGGAUUUUUGGCAGAUUGUCCUAAGUAGAGAGAGCAGUUGGUAUUGGAAGACACUGCAUAAACUCAAACUGAACAUGCUAGAAUGGUACUCUGGAGGUAGUUAUUAAUUAACUUCAAAGAGGGUAUACUCAAUAAAAACAGGUUAUUUGAAGUUGAUAGGGAAUGCACUGAAGUUUCCCAUGGUUGAACUACUUUGGAGCAGAACUUAUAUUAUGAUUGGCAGUGCAAGGUAGGAUGCUAACAAAAGAUAGAAUGUAGGACAUGGAAUUGGCAGGUGAUGAUCCACUAUGUAGUCUAUGUUUAACGGACAAUGUAGAGACUCUUGGUCACUUAUUUUUUGAGUCUCCUUGGUCGAUUGAUUUAUGAGAUCCUUAAUGAUCUGGUGUUGAUUAGGAGGAAGCACCGGGGGAAAUACAAGUAGGAAGUGAUGAUUGUAGUGUAUGAAGUUGUGGUCUAUCAAGUAUGGGUUGUCAGGUUCAUCUUACUUAGUCGGACUGAUCAAGGUGGGGUGCUCUUUACAUGUAUUGAAUUGAUUUGCUGGUAUGGUAAUAUUUCACAGUUUAUUAUCCAAAAAAACUUAAUAUGUAAAAAUAAUUUCUCUGAUGCUCAAUAAGCUAUUUAAAAAAAAAAGUAGUUCGAUACACUAAAACUCUCACUAUGCAUAGAGUUUAAAAAUGAUUAAAUCACAAAAAUCUUAGAUACGCAAUAUUUUGAAAAUCAAAACUUAUAAAUUCAAAAUUUUAAAUCCAUCUCUCAGUCCCGAUCACCAUCAUCAUCAUAAAUACAAUAAACAAGUCUCAUGGCAAACUCUUUCAAUUAAUGGAGACCAAUCCCAUUUUUGA